This 996-nucleotide ribosomal RNA is filed under the name uncultured bacterium. RNAcentral describes it as "bacterial SSU rRNA". It matches the Rfam family "Bacterial small subunit ribosomal RNA", at positions 356 to 1376 of the family's 1533-position model. The record is from RNAcentral.
GGGGGAUAUUGCACAAUGGGGGAAACCCUGAUGCAGCGACGCCGCGUGAGGGAAGACGGCCUUCGGGUUGUAAACCUCUGUCUUCGGGGACGAAUAAAUGACGGUACCCGAGGAGGAAGCCACGGCUAACUACGUGCCAGCAGCCGCGGUAAUACGUAGGUGGCAAGCGUUGUCCGGAAUUACUGGGUGUAAAGGGAGCGUAGGCGGGGAGGCAAGUUGAAUGUCUAAACUAUCGGCUCAACUGAUAGUCGCGUUCAAAACUGCCACUCUUGAGUGCAGUAGAGGUAGGCGGAAUUCCUAGUGUAGCGGUGAAAUGCGUAGAUAUUAGGAGGAACACCAGUGGCGAAGGCGGCCUACUGGGCUGUAACUGACGCUGAGGCUCGAAAGCGUGGGUAGCAAACAGGAUUAGAUACCCUGGUAGUCCACGCCGUAAACGAUGAUUACUAGGUGUGGGGGGACUGACCCCUUCCGUGCCGGAGUUAACACAAUAAGUAAUCCACCUGGGGAGUACGGCCGCAAGGCUGAAACUCAAAGGAAUUGACGGGGGCCCGCACAAGCAGUGGAGUAUGUGGUUUAAUUCGAAGCAACGCGAAGAACCUUACCAGGUCUUGACAUCGAGUGACGAACUUAGAGAUAAGUUCUUCCUUCGGGACACGAAGACAGGUGGUGCAUGGUUGUCGUCAGCUCGUGUCGUGAGAUGUUGGGUUAAGUCCCGCAACGAGCGCAACCCUUAUCAUUAGUUGCUACGCAAGAGCACUCUAAUGAGACUGCCGUUGAUAAAACGGAGGAAGGUGGGGAUGACGUCAAAUCAUCAUGCCCCUUAUGACCUGGGCUACACACGUACUACAAUGGUGAUCAAACAGAGGGAAGCAACACAGCGAUGUGAAGCAGAACCCGAAAAAUCAUCUCAGUUCAGAUUGCAGGCUGCAACUCGCCUGCAUGAAGUCGGAAUUGCUAGUAAUCGCGGAUCAGCAUGCCGCGGUGAAUACGUUCCCG